Molecule: ribosomal RNA, 551 nt
Filed under: Proechimys simonsi (Simon's spiny rat)
Lineage: Eukaryota; Metazoa; Chordata; Mammalia; Rodentia; Echimyidae
Description: partial 16S ribosomal RNA
Rfam family: Bacterial large subunit ribosomal RNA
Source: RNAcentral
CACCUCUAKCAUUACAAGUAUUAGAGGCACUGCCUGCCCAGUGACAAUUUAAUGUUAAACGGCCGCGGUAUCCUGACCGUGCAAAGGUAGCAUAAUCACUUGUUCUUUAAAUAAGGACUAGUAUGAAAGGCUUGACGAGGGUUUAACUGUCUCUUUCUUACAGUCAAUGAAAUUGACCUCUCCGUGAAGAGGCGGAGAUUAAAAAAUAAGACGAGAAGACCCUAUGGAGCUUAAAUUAAAUAAUUCAUCUCUCAUUAUAAAUAAUCAAUAAGAAACAAAAAAGGGAUUAUGAAUUAACUAUUUUGGUUGGGGUGACCUCGGAGUAAAAUUUAACCUCCGAAUGAUAUUAACCUAGACAAACAAGUCAAAGAUAUUAUCAUAAAUUGACCCAGAAAAUAUCUGAUCAACGGACCAAGUUACCCUAGGGAUAACAGCGCAAUCCUAUUCUAGAGUUCAUAUCGACAAUAGGGUUUACGACCUCGAUGUUGGAUCAGGACACCCAAAUGGUGCAACCGCUAUUAAAGGUUCGUUUGUUCAACGAUUAAAGUCCU